AUUGAACGCUGGCGGCAUGCCUUACACAUGCAAGUCGAACGGCAGCGCGGACUUCGGUCUGGCGGCGAGUGGCGAACGGGUGAGUAAUACAUCGGAACGUACCCUGUUGUGGGGGAUAACUAGUCGAAAGAUUAGCUAAUACCGCAUACGACCUGAGGGUGAAAGUGGGGGACCGCAAGGCCUCACGCAGCAGGAGCGUCCGAUGUCUGAUUAGCUAGUUGGUGGGGUAAAGGCCCACCAAGGCGACGAUCAGUAGCUGGUCUGAGAGGACGAUCAGCCACACUGGGACUGAGACACGGCCCAGACUCCUACGGGAGGCAGCAGUGGGGAAUUUUGGACAAUGGGGGCAACCCUGAUCCAGCAAUGCCGCGUGUGUGAAGAAGGCCUUCGGGUUGUAAAGCACUUUUGUCCGGAAAGAAAUCGCGCUGGUUAAUACCUGGCGUGGAUGACGGUACCGGAAGAAUAAGCACCGGCUAACUACGUG
This 484-nucleotide ribosomal RNA is filed under the name uncultured bacterium. Its description in RNAcentral is "partial 16S ribosomal RNA". It matches the Rfam family "Bacterial small subunit ribosomal RNA", at positions 30 to 507 of the family's 1533-position model. The record is from RNAcentral.